Molecule: ribosomal RNA, 84 nt
Filed under: Porella vernicosa
Lineage: Eukaryota; Viridiplantae; Streptophyta; Jungermanniopsida; Porellales; Porellaceae
Description: partial 5.8S ribosomal RNA
Rfam family: 5.8S ribosomal RNA
About the family: 5.8S ribosomal RNA (5.8S rRNA) is a component of the large subunit of the eukaryotic ribosome. It is transcribed by RNA polymerase I as part of the 45S precursor that also contains 18S and 28S rRNA. Functionally, it is thought that 5.8S rRNA may be involved in ribosome translocation.
Source: RNAcentral
UGCAGAAUUCCGCGAAUCAUCGAGUCUUUGAACGCAAGUUGCGCCCGAGGCUUGUCCCGAGGGCAUGCCUGCCUGAGCGUCACC